RNAcentral lists this unclassified non-coding RNA (278 nucleotides) under uncultured fungus. Its description in RNAcentral is "sequence contains ITS2". Lineage: Eukaryota; Fungi. The record is from RNAcentral.
AACGCACCUUGCGCCACGUGGUAUUCCACGGGGCACGCCUGUUUGAGUGUCACGUUAAUCAUCGCGCCGUGGAUGUAACAGUCUGCGGAACGGAUUUGGACGCUUGCCGCGUUUAUGCGGCUCGUCUCGAAAUGCAUUAGCUGUCUGAAGACCGCACCGCCGGUGUAAUAAUUUCUUUGCGCCUAUGGAGUGGACUUUGAGAUGGCUUAUAACCGCCCGCAAGGGCAACAAUCUUAAGCUUUGACCUCAAAUCAGGUGGGACUACCCGCUGAACUUAA